RNAcentral lists this ribosomal RNA (235 nucleotides) under uncultured Lactobacillus sp. RNAcentral describes it as "partial 16S ribosomal RNA". It matches the Rfam family "Bacterial small subunit ribosomal RNA", at positions 129 to 352 of the family's 1533-position model. The record is from RNAcentral. Lineage: Bacteria; Bacillati; Bacillota; Bacilli; Lactobacillales; Lactobacillaceae.
CCCAAGAGAUCGGGAUAACACCUGGAAACAGAUGCUAAUACCGGAUAACAACAGAUGAUGCCUAUCAACUGCUUUAAAAGAUGAUUCUGCUAUCACUCUUGGAUGGACCUGCGGUGCAUUAGCUAGUUGGUAGGGUAACGGCCUACCAAGGCGAUGAUGCAUAGCCGAGUUGAGAGACUGAUCGGCCACAUUGGGACUGAGACACGGCCCAAACUCCUACGGGAGGCAGCCAGUC